GGAGACAUAGCGCAACGGGAGCGCAUUCGCCUCACACGCGAGAGGUUGAGGGUUCGAAUCCCCCUGUCUCCA
Molecule: transfer RNA, 72 nt
Filed under: Clostridiales bacterium
Lineage: Bacteria; Bacillati; Bacillota; Clostridia; Eubacteriales
Description: tRNA-Val
Rfam family: tRNA
About the family: Transfer RNA (tRNA) molecules are approximately 80 nucleotides in length. Their secondary structure includes four short double-helical elements and three loops (D, anti-codon, and T loops). Further hydrogen bonds mediate the characteristic L-shaped molecular structure. tRNAs have two regions of fundamental functional importance: the anti-codon, which is responsible for specific mRNA codon recognition, and the 3' end, to which the tRNAs corresponding amino acid is attached (by aminoacyl-tRNA synthetases). tRNAs cope with the degeneracy of the genetic code in two manners: having more than one tRNA (with a specific anti-codon) for a particular amino acid; and 'wobble' base-pairing, i.e. permitting non-standard base-pairing at the 3rd anti-codon position.
Source: RNAcentral